This 253-nucleotide ribosomal RNA is filed under the name uncultured bacterium. RNAcentral's name for it is "partial 16S ribosomal RNA". It matches the Rfam family "Bacterial small subunit ribosomal RNA", at positions 524 to 776 of the family's 1533-position model. The record is from RNAcentral.
AACGUAGGUGGCAAGCGUUAUCCGGAAUUACUGGGCGUAAAGGGUGUGCAGGCGGGGAAGCAAGUGGUGUAUGAAAUAUCCCAGCUUAACUGGGAGGGGUUAUGCCAGACUGCUUUUCUAGAGGACGAGAGAGGGGGGUGGAAUUCCGGGUGUAGUGGUGAAAUGCGUAGAGAUCCGGAGGAACCCCAGAGGCGAAGGCGGCCCCCUGGCUCGUACCUGACGCUCAGCCACGAAAGCAUGGGGAGCGAACGGG